CAAAUCCGCCCAGGGUCAGUCGGGACCUAAGGCGAGGCCCAAGGGCGUAGCCGAUGGACAGACGGUUAAUAUUCCGCCACCCGAUGGUAAGGUUGAACGACGGAGGACGCCGGUUCCAGUCAGGUCGGGGGGUUAGAAGACCCCGUGCCGCAAGGCCGACAGCAUUCGAUCUGGAAGCCUGAUGACGAGCCGGCCACGAAAAGCCCCGUCGGGACGAACCAUCCGGCCGUACCGCAAUCCGACACAGGUGUGCUAGGCGAGUAUCCGAAGGCGUUCGGGAGAACCCUCGUGAAGGAACUCGGCAAAAUGACCCCGUACCUUCGGUACAAGGGGUGCUCUCCGCAAGGAGAGCCGCAGAGAAUCGGCUCUAGCGACUGUUUAUCAAAAACACAGGACUCUGCCAACUCGCAAGAGGACGUAUAGAGUCUGACGCCUGCUCGGUGUCGGUAGGUUAAGGGAGCCGAUGAGGCGGAAGCUGAAGUUGGCGACCGAAGCCCCGAUAAACGGCGGCCGUAACUAUGACGGUCCUAAGGUAGCGAAGUUCCUUGUCGGGUAAGUUCCGACCUGCAUGAAUGGCGUAACGACUGGAGCACUGUCUCCACGAGGGACCCGGUGAAACUGUAGCCGUGGUGAAGAUGCCACGUCCCCGCGGUCAGACGGAAAGACCCCGUGAACCUUUACUGCAGGUUGGCACUGGGUCAGCGUCCUUUCUGUGUAGCAUAGGUGGGAGGCCGUGAUCCGGCGGCGCCAGCCGUCGGGGAGCCAUCGGUGAAAUACCACCCUGAAAUGACUCUGAUCCUCACCGGUCCGUAGCCCGGACCGGGACCGUGCUCAUCGGGCAGUUUGACUGGGGCGGUCUCCUCCCAAAGCGUAACGGAGGAGUGCAAUGGUACCCUCGGCCAGGUCGGCAAUCUGGCAACACGAGCGCAAACGUAGAAGGGUGCCUGACUGCGAGACCCAUCAGUCGAGCAGGGACGAAAGUCGGCGUUAGUGAUCCGGCGGUGCUGGAUGGAAAGGCCGUCGUUCAACAGAUAAAAGGUACUCCGGGGAUAACAGGCUGAUCUCCCCCGAGCGUCCAUAGCGGCGGGGAGGUUUGGCACCUCGAUGUCGGCUCAUCGCAUCCUGGGGCUGGAGAAGGUCCCAAGGGUUUGGCUGUUCGCCAAUGAAAGCGGUACGCGAGCUGGGUUCAGACCGUCGUGAGACAGGUCGGUCCCUAUCUGCCGUGGGCGGAGGAAACUUGCGAAGGGUCUCCCCUAGUACGAGAGGAUUGGGGAGGACCGACCUCUGGUGUGCCGGCUGUCCCGCUCGGGGCAUCGCCGGGUAGCUAGGUCGGGAAAGGAUAAGCGCUGAAGGCAUCUAAGCGCGAAGCCCUCUUCAAGACGAGGUUUCCAGCACGCAAGUGCGAAGGCUCCUGGAAGACGACCAGGUCGAUAGGCCGGGAGUGCACGGCGAGUGAUCGCCGCAGCCGACCGGUCCUAACAGCCAAUCGCUUGACCAC
This 1498-nucleotide ribosomal RNA is filed under the name metagenome. RNAcentral describes it as "bacterial LSU rRNA". It matches the Rfam family "Bacterial large subunit ribosomal RNA", at positions 1365 to 2925 of the family's 2925-position model. The record is from RNAcentral.